UCAGGAAACUUCUCUCCCCAUCCUCUCUAACCUCUUCGCUCCCUCCGUCUCUUCCCACGCGACCGAGGCGAUGGGGCGAGGCGACCUCGGUGGUGGCCAGUUCUCGGUGCGGCGGCGGCCACCCUCAUCCUCCUCCACACCCCUCCCUCCUCGCACUGCAAGGGCAGGGCGAUGGCGGCCCUCGCCGGGUCUUGCGCCGGUGCAUCGGUUCGUCGCCCCCGGCCACGUUGCUGAAACCCUACCUGCCACUUCCAGACCCACGCCGCCGCCCCGUCCUUCACCGUCGCCUCCUCUACUCGCCCGGUCCCGGCAGCCGCUCUCCCCCUGGAACUCUCUUCUCUUCUCUUCCCCACUGUUUCCACUUCUCCUUCCUCUCCCUCCCCCUCCACGUGGGUGAAUCCUAGCAACGGGCGCUUGCCCUAGCACCCGGCAGCUGGCACACCAGAGGUUCGGCGCCUUGCUGACGCUGGGUCGUACGUGCUAUGCAGCCCACGCUUGGACCGUGCACAAGCACGGGACCCCCUGGUGCCGUCAGCUUGCUCCGACCCCUCCUAUUCCUACUCAACGCCUCUCCAGGUUUGGAAUCCUUGCAGUGCGGUCAGUUUUCUUUAAAGGUAUAGGCAUCAAUGGCGACAAAAUUCUCCUUCUCAAAGCGGUACUGACGAUGAUGACAAUCAUAGGAUAUUUAUUUGCCAAUUUGCUUUGUUGCAGGAGCUACAUAUUAUUGAUUAUUGAGACAAAAAUAUCACUGCUACAGAAUCAGUAAAUUAUGUAUAUUACUAUGUAGAAAGGUUGUAUAAUUAUCUGGUUACAGUAUGUUAGCAAGCAUUCAUUGAGUGGUAAUCAAAUCACACAUGUUUUAAUUUACAAACUUUGAAUACCCCUCCCAGUUUAAAAAAGCUAUAUAUUCGGUUCAAAACACCACUGGUAACUAAGAUAGUCUUUGCUAUUUCCAUGGUAAAGCUAUAUACUCAGAUACAAAGUUCAAAUUGUCGGUUAUUAUUUAACGACUGUGACCAACAAAUAAAACCUAACUCUAAAGAGAGUUGGAUGAUAAAUUAUAACAUAGAUAGGGAAAGGAGCAAGACUCUGGAGCAAAUCUGCAAAAGACUAUGAUACUCUUAGUCUGAGAAUUUGUACCACUGUGGACAUUUAUGUUGUAAUUAGUAUUGCAUAACUGAAAAUAGUAAAAGUAUAUAUAUAAACAAAGAGUACAGUAGUGCUCUAGAAAAGGCCCCAAAUUAGACAUGCUGUGUUUAGGAAGCCAACACAUCAGAAUGACAUUAUAUAAUUUUGUGGAUUCUUAGCUGUUGUCAUGUGUUUACCUAAGCACUGAUGCAUUCAAAUUGCUUUAUUAAGUAUCCUGUGGGCCACAAAGCAACAUACUCCAACAUAUGAGCUAGAAUACCCUUUAUAUAGAAAAUGCCUGUAUAAAAAACUAUAUCUUGGAAAACUAUGAAUCAUUAUGACAGUCACAUAUGCACUUUCAGCCAAAAUUACUGCAGUACAAGCUAAAGAGGUGUCUCUAGAUUUUGUGCUGAUAAUUUUGGCUAUGAUCAGGUUCCAUGCGCUCUCCCAAUUUUGGCUACCACCAGUUUGAGGAUAGAAACCUCACAGAGAUACACAAUUUCAGAGGCUAUUGCUAAAGUAGAUGGUUACAAUGGAGGUUGUUCAAUGGACCAGCUUGUGGGGAUUUUUCAAGAACAAGUAUGAAACAGAGAAGAAUCUGUUGGGAGGAGCUUUAGGUGCCAAAGCCGCGGGAGAUUUGAAGCUUAGCAUCACUGACCAUGAUAUCUCUUGGUUGUCUCCAAGUACUAUGUGAGGGUUACACUCAGUAGGCUUGCAGAAUCUUCUUUCCCUGAGUUUGUAGGAGGCAGAGAAGCAUCUUGCAGUCAUGGUGAACUAGACCAUUUUAUGUUCCGCCAAAAUGUAACCGGUGUCUAAUCUCCAAGCAUUUCCAAUGUUAUCAAAAGGUCCCAUAUUUUGCAUUGCAAAGGAGCACUGUUCCCUUCUAUAAAUUCUACAUUGUUCAAAUAUAUGUGUAUCUAAAAUAUUCUCUGUUUAGCAAUCGGGUGUCAUCUUUUCAGGUUUCCCCUCCUAGGUCAUAGGAUCAGGAUGACAAUAAAUAAAUUAGAAACUGCAUGCUACACUCUACCAACAUGACAAAGGCAGCAACUUCGAUUUGGUGUGUUCCUGUGAGCCAUCCAUGGUGACGCUGCCCUAUACUUUAGAGAGUAAGGUCUUCAAUAACGAUGCUCUCGUAUUCUCAAAUCUGGAUUCAGUUUAUUAUAUGGCCCUAAUUCUUGUUCCUUCGAUUGAUAUUGUGCUUGCUGAGGGUGCUGCUCGACAAAAUGGUGUGACAUUGGAAAUCUCCUUGGAGGAGAUUAGCUGCACACUGCAUGUAGAAGUAGUCAACUGCUGGUUGCUCCUGGUUGCUCAUUGCAGGAUUCAGUACAUGUACAAGAGCGAACACGUACAAGAGGCCCGGUGGUACGGGCGAUCGAGAGGCCAGCAGCAGCAACAUCGGGCAAAAGCUCGGCCAAGAAGCUGAUCGAACUGGGUUCGGCUGGCCGUGAUUGCGAAUCUGCAAGACAAGCGAACGAAGCAGAGAUCGACGUCGGUCACCUGGUGAGCUACUGGGCUAUAUAUAUAGGCCUGGAGGCUCAUUAGCAUUUAGCAAGGGUCAAGGCCUCAAGGGGACAUAUGAAGGACUUUGAUGAAGAAUAAGAAAACAAAAAUUAAACAAGUUAUUCUACUAC
Sorghum bicolor (sorghum) is the source of this 2759-nucleotide long non-coding RNA. RefSeq lists it as uncharacterized. Lineage: Eukaryota; Viridiplantae; Streptophyta; Magnoliopsida; Poales; Poaceae. The record is from RefSeq and is a predicted model, not a curated record. The transcript has 7 exons.